GAAAAAAAGAAGGUAUCAGAUCUUCAUGUCAAAUAGUCAUUAGAAUUCAAAAACACGCUUCAAGUCUGCUAAAAAGUGAGAAUUUUUAUAUUGACACGUGCAUUGAUCUUGAGUAGGAAGACCUAGUGGGUGGCAAAAUAUUUUCCACAGCUGCUGAUUUCAGAAGUUUGAAUGAAGAUGCAGAUUCAUCUCCGAUGCCUUAUGAGGAGCCUGCAUCUGGCAGACAUGUACAAGAAUGUCAUAAACAACACUUCUCACCGCCACAUUAAACAGUAUGUUCAGUGACCAGCAGAGUGGAAAAUAGAUCUCAUCUUUCAUUCUAAAGAUAGUAUUUCCACAGGGCAGAAAAGAUGCUGUAAAACAUCAAAACAAUUAAAGAGGAUCUAACUUUCUUUUUCUUCCUUACCACUGUAGAAACAUGAAUGUUACUUCUCAUUUGUUAAACUUAUUACCCUGUUGCAGCACGUUAGUACAUAAAUUCAAGUUAAUAUCAGAG
Molecule: long non-coding RNA, 496 nt
Filed under: Numida meleagris (helmeted guineafowl)
Lineage: Eukaryota; Metazoa; Chordata; Aves; Galliformes; Numididae
Description: lncRNA (ENSNMEG00000005694.1)
Source: RNAcentral